GACGAACGCUGGCGGCGUGCUUAACACAUGCAAGUCGAACGGAAAGGCCCUGCUUUCGGGGUACUCGAGUGGCGAACGGGUGAGUAACACGUGGGUGAUCUGCCCUGCACUUCGGGAUAAGCCUGGGAAACUGGGUCUAAUACCGGAUAGGAGCCAUUUUUAGUGUGAUGGUUGGAAAGUUUUUUCGGUGUAGGAUGAGCUCGCGGCCUAUCAGCUUGUUGGUGGGGUAAUGGCCUACCAAGGCGGCGACGGGUAGCCGGCCUGAGAGGGUGGACGGCCACAUUGGGACUGAGAGACGGCCCAGACGCCUACGGGAGGCAGCGGUGGGGAAUAUUGCACAAUGGGGGCGAGCCUGAUGCAGCGACGCCGCGUGGGGGAUGACGGCCUUCGGGUUGUAAACUCCUUUCGCUAGGGACGAAGCUUUUUGUGACGGUACCUAGAUAAGAAGCACCGGCUAACUACGUG
RNAcentral lists this ribosomal RNA (465 nucleotides) under uncultured bacterium. RNAcentral's name for it is "partial 16S ribosomal RNA". It matches the Rfam family "Bacterial small subunit ribosomal RNA", at positions 28 to 507 of the family's 1533-position model. The record is from RNAcentral.